AGUGAACGCUGGCGGUAGGCCUAACACAUGCAAGUCGAACGGCAGCACAGUAAGAGCUUGCUCUUACGGGUGGCGAGUGGCGGACGGGUGAGGAAUACAUCGGAAUCUACUUUUUCGUGGGGGAUAACGUAGGGAAACUUACGCUAAUACCGCAUACGACCUACGGGUGAAAGCAGGGGAUCUUCGGACCUUGCGCGAUUGAAUGAGCCGAUGUCGGAUUAGCUAGUUGGCGGGGUAAAGGCCCACCAAGGCGACGAUCCGUAGCUGGUCUGAGAGGAUGAUCGGCCGCACGGGAACGGGGACACGGUCAAGGCUCCUGAGGGAGGCACCAGUGGGGAAUAGGAGGCAAUGGGGGGAAGCCUGAUCCAGCCAUACCGAGUGGGUGAAGAAGGCCUUCGGGUUGUAAAGCCCUUUUUUGGGGAAAGAAAAGCAGCAGGUUAAUACCCCGCUGUUCUGACGGGACCCAAAAAAAAAGCACCGGCUAACUUCGUG
RNAcentral lists this ribosomal RNA (492 nucleotides) under uncultured bacterium. RNAcentral describes it as "partial 16S ribosomal RNA". It matches the Rfam family "Bacterial small subunit ribosomal RNA", at positions 29 to 507 of the family's 1533-position model. The record is from RNAcentral.